Molecule: ribosomal RNA, 253 nt
Filed under: uncultured bacterium
Lineage: Bacteria
Description: partial 16S ribosomal RNA
Rfam family: Bacterial small subunit ribosomal RNA
Source: RNAcentral
UACGUAGGGGGCAAGCGUUAUCCGGAAUUACUGGGUGUAAGGGGAGCGUAGACGGUAAUGUAAGUCUGGAGUGAAAGGCGGGGGCCCAACCCCCGGACUGCUCUGGAAACUAUGUUACUAGAGUGCAGGAGAGGUAAGCGGAAUUCCUAGUGUAGCGGUGAAAUGCGUAGAUAUUAGGAGGAACACCAGUGGCGAAGGCGGCUUACUGGACUGUAACUGACGUUGAGGCUCGAAAUCGUGGGGAGCAAACAGG